CUCCACGUUUCCAUGGGACCUCCAGUGUGGUAGCAUCCCUUUUUACUCAUUGUAGAGUAACCGUCGCCUUGCCUCUUGGAAAAGAUCCUGCCAUUCAAUUGGGGUUAGCCUCUAACUUGGGCAAGUGACAGAU
Sphaerodactylus townsendi is the source of this 133-nucleotide small nucleolar RNA. RefSeq annotates it as small nucleolar RNA SNORA24. The transcript has a single exon. The record is from RefSeq and is a predicted model, not a curated record. Lineage: Eukaryota; Metazoa; Chordata; Lepidosauria; Squamata; Sphaerodactylidae.